UGCUGAAUACAACAGGUGUAGUAGACCUCACAGUGAAAUGCUGAAUACAACAGGUGUAGUAGACCUUACAGUGAAAUGCUGAAUACAACAGGUGUAGUAGACCUUACAGUGAAAUGCUGAAUACUACAGGUGUAGUAGACCUUACAGUGAAAUGCUGAAUAGAACAGGUGUAGUAGACCUUACAGUGAAAUGCUGAAUACAACAGGUGUAGUAGACCUCACAGUGAAAUGCUGAAUACAACAGGUGUAGUAGACCUUACAGUGAAAUGCUGAAUACAACAGGUGUAGUAGACCUUACAGUGAAAUGCUGAAUACAACAGGUGUAGUAGACCUUACAGUGAAACGCUGAAUACAACAGGUGUAGUAGACCUCACAGUGAAAUGCUGAAUACAACAGGUGUAGUAGACCUCACAGUGAAAUGCUGAAUACAACAGGUGUAGUAGACCUUACAGUGAAAUGCUGAAUACAACAGGUGUAGUAGACCUUACAGUGAAAUGCUGAAUACAACAGGUGUAGUAGACCUCACAGUGAAAUGCUGAAUACAACAGGUGUAGUAGACCUCACAGUGAAAUGCUGAAUACAACAGGUGUAGUAGACCUCACAGUGAAAUGCUGAAUACAACAGGUGUAGCAGACCUUACAGUGAAAUGCUGAAUACAACAGGUGUAGUAGACCUCACAGUGAAAUGCUGAAUACAACAGGUGUAGUAGACCUCACAGUGAAAUGCUGAAUACAACAGGUGUAGUAGACCUUACAGUGAAAUGCUGAAUACAACAGGUGUAGCAGACCUUACAGUGAAAUGCUGAAUACAACAGGUGUAGUAGACCUUACAGUGAAAUGCUGAAUACAACAG
Long non-coding RNA from Oncorhynchus keta (chum salmon), 851 nucleotides. RefSeq lists it as uncharacterized. NCBI's taxonomy places the organism in Eukaryota, Metazoa, Chordata, Actinopteri, Salmoniformes, Salmonidae. The transcript has 3 exons. The record is from RefSeq and is a predicted model, not a curated record.